Molecule: non-coding RNA, 111 nt
Filed under: Sciurus vulgaris (Eurasian red squirrel)
Lineage: Eukaryota; Metazoa; Chordata; Mammalia; Rodentia; Sciuridae
Source: RNAcentral
GUGUGUGUGGAAGGAGAGAAGGUCAGCACUCCCUUGACUAGGGUGGAAGAGCCCUUGGGUCUGACAACAUCCAAGCCCGGCCACCUGCCUCUGAGUGUCUGACCUUGUUUU